CCUAGACAAAGGCUUGUAGGGCCACUGUUAUUUUUAUUACCUAAUUUAGUGAUUAGUUCAAGGUUUUAAUAUUUAUUUACCUCUCAACCCAGUAUCAGAAUCAUCGGUAUCACAAGGAUUAAGACGGAUUCUUUUUCUUUUCUUUGGUGCAAUUGGAGAUUCAUCAUCUGUGUGAUUAUUAUUGUCUUUUCUUGGAGAGGUGGUUGUCUGGAAGAAAUCUCUCGAAAGCGAGAAGGCCGC
This is a long non-coding RNA of Pieris rapae (cabbage white), 240 nucleotides long. RefSeq lists it as uncharacterized. Lineage: Eukaryota; Metazoa; Arthropoda; Insecta; Lepidoptera; Pieridae. The record is from RefSeq and is a predicted model, not a curated record. The transcript has 3 exons.